UACGUAGGGGGCUAGCGUUGUCCGGAUUUAUUGGGCGUAAAGAGCGUGUAGGCGGCCAGGUAGGUCUGCUGUGAAAACCCGAGGCUCAACCUCGGGCCUGCAGUGGGUACGGGCAGACUAGAGUGCGGUAGGGGAGAUUGGAAUUCCUGGUGUAGCGGUGGAAUGCGCAGAUAUCAGGAGGAACACCGAUGGCGAAGGCAGAUCUCUGGGCCGUAACUGACGCUGAGGAGCGAAAGCAUGGGGAGCGAACAGG
This 253-nucleotide ribosomal RNA is filed under the name uncultured bacterium. RNAcentral describes it as "partial 16S ribosomal RNA". It matches the Rfam family "Bacterial small subunit ribosomal RNA", at positions 524 to 776 of the family's 1533-position model. The record is from RNAcentral.